CCUACGGGGGGCUGCAGUGAGGAAUAUUGGUCAAUGGACGCAAGUCUGAACCAGCCAAGUAGCGUGAAGGAUGACUGCCCUAUGGGUUGUAAACUUCUUUUAUAUGGGAAUAAAAUGUUCCACGUGUGGGAUUUUGUAUGUACCAUAUGAAUAAGGAUCGGCUAACUCCGUGCCAGCAGCCGCGGUAAUACGGAGGAUCCGAGCGUUAUCCGGAUUUAUUGGGUUUAAAGGGAGCGUAGGUGGAUUGUUAAGUCAGUUGUGAAAGUUUGCGGCUCAACCGUAAAAUUGCAGUUGAAACUGGCAGUCUUGAGUACAGUAGAGGUGGGCGGAAUUCGUGGUGUAGCGGUGAAAUGCUUAGAUAUCAUGAAGAACUCCGAUUGCGAAGGCAGUUCACUGGACUGCAACUGACACUGAGGCUCGAAAGUGUGGGUAUCAAACAGGAUUAGAUACCCGAGUAGUC
RNAcentral lists this ribosomal RNA (460 nucleotides) under uncultured bacterium. RNAcentral's name for it is "partial 16S ribosomal RNA". It matches the Rfam family "Bacterial small subunit ribosomal RNA", at positions 338 to 795 of the family's 1533-position model. The record is from RNAcentral.